Setaria italica (foxtail millet) is the source of this 1382-nucleotide long non-coding RNA. RefSeq lists it as uncharacterized. The record is from RefSeq and is a predicted model, not a curated record. The transcript has 2 exons. Lineage: Eukaryota; Viridiplantae; Streptophyta; Magnoliopsida; Poales; Poaceae.
UCCUAAGCUGUCUGCUGCAUGGGUUCUCAAAUGUCAAGAUCAGGAGGGAAGCACUCACACUCUCCUUCCUCGAUCACUUGAGGUACUUCGCAUCAAGGCUCUCCAGGAUGAGACUGUGCCCUAUUUGAUGGCUCGCCUCCCUUCCCUCACCCAGCUAGAGGUAUGCGAUAGUCCAAAUUUGACAUCUCUGCCUCUGGGUUCCCUCACAGCAUUGAAAAGGGUGUUAAUUAAUAGCUGUGACUCCCUGGCAUCUCUGGAAGGCCUCUUCUCUGAACUAGAGAUAUCUGAUAGUCCAAAUUUGACAUCUUUACAGCUAGGUUUCCUCAGAGCAUUGAAAAAGUUGGAUGUUCUAUUCUGCAAGUCGCUCGCUUCACUGGAAGGGUUGCAAUCCCUUGGGAGCCUCACGGAUUUGACAAUAUUGGGCUGUUACAGCAUAACUCCGUGUUUGAACUUUAUGUCACAACAGGCAGUGGGAUUUAAUCUAUUCCCUAGACUAGAAAGAAUUAAGAUGGAUGACUUUUCUGCCCUUACAACGUCUUUCUGCAAGCAUCUUACCUCUGUACAGCAUCUAGUUCUACUUGAGAAUUCAAAUUCAAAUAUCAAAAGGGCCUGCCUUACAGAUGAGCAAGAGAAAGCACUUCAGCUCCUCACGUCUCUGCGAAAGCUCCGGUUUAUUCACUGCAAGAAUCUCGUACAUCUUCCUGCUGUGCUACAUAGCCUUCCUUCCCUCAAGAAAUUAUUUGUCCAGGAUUGUCCAUGCAUCGCAAGGCUUCCUGAGAAGGGCCUUCCACCUUCAUUGGAAAAGCUUAAGAUCAUUGACUGCAGUGCAGAGCUAAAUGAAAAAUGCAGAAUGCUUGCAAAAAUGAUCAAGGUCAAAAUUGAUAGGGGAUAUGUAAACUGAGUGCUCGAUGGCUCCGUUGGAUGAGCAUUUGUGCCUACGACUCUACGAGACACGCUACCUUGGCUGCCGUUUUCCACUUCUUAGCUCGCUACUUAACGUGUUCAAGAUCACCACACAAGUGCUGUCCAAAGGUCAAACGAGGUGCACCAAUUCAGUAGAUGCCCCUUUGUCCCUUAGAUGGCCUAUCAUACUGCACGUGGCCGGAUGCCUUUAUGCAGGCACACAGCUGAGGAUUUUUCAUUUCUGGUAUGCGAUGAAAAGAACAGUCCGUUGGGUGACUUUUGGUUGAACUGAUCGACAUCUCGCCCUGCCAGGAACGCAGCAGAUGACUACUCAUUUGUUCAUGAAUUUAAACACGCCACCUUGUGAUGUAUUGGUGCUAUUAGGAGUUCGGACAUUUUUCCCAUUCACGUGAUGCAAACUGUAUGUUAUUAUGCUCCCUCAAAGAAAAAAAAGGUUUCCUGGAUUAGGCAUUUUUAUU